GUGAGGAAUUUUCCGCAAUGGGCGAAAGCCUGACGGAGCAAUGCCGCGUGAAGGAUGAAGGCCUAUGGGUUGUAAACUUCUUUUCUCAGAAAAGAAUUAUGACGGUAUCUGAGGAAUAAGCAUCGGCUAACUUCGUGCCAGCAGCCGCGGUAAGACGAGGGAUCCUAGCGUUGCUCGGAAUCAUUGGGCGUAAAGAGGGCGUAGGUGGCUUGGUAAGUCAGGUGUGAAAGCCCAGGGCUCAACCCUGGAAGUGCAUUUGAUACUGCUGAGCUUGAGUGUCGGAGAGGUUACCGGAAUACCUGGUGUAGUGGUGAAAUACGUAGAUAUCAGGUGGAACACCGGAGGCGAAGGCGGGUAACUGGACGAACACUGACACUGAGGCCCGAAAGCGUGGGGAUCAAACAGGAUUAGAUACCCCAGUAGUCC
This 426-nucleotide ribosomal RNA is filed under the name uncultured bacterium. RNAcentral describes it as "partial 16S ribosomal RNA". It matches the Rfam family "Bacterial small subunit ribosomal RNA", at positions 354 to 796 of the family's 1533-position model. The record is from RNAcentral.